CGCUGGCGGCGUGUUUCACACAUGGAAGAAGAACGAACCUUCGGGUUAGUGGCGGACGGGUGAGUAACGCGUGUUCCCCUGCCCUCAGGAGGGGGAUAACGGUUGGAAACGACCGCUAAUACCCCAUAUGCCGAGAGGUGAAAAGAAAUUCGCCUGAGGAUGAGCUCGCGUCUGAUUAGCUAGUUGGUGUGGUAAUGGCGCACCAAGGCUUCGAUCAGUAGCUGGUCUGAGAGGAUGAUCAGCCACACUGGGACUGAGACACGGCCCAGACUCCUACGGGAGGCAGCAGUGGG
RNAcentral lists this ribosomal RNA (293 nucleotides) under uncultured bacterium. RNAcentral describes it as "partial 16S ribosomal RNA". It matches the Rfam family "Bacterial small subunit ribosomal RNA", at positions 34 to 358 of the family's 1533-position model. The record is from RNAcentral.